RNAcentral lists this ribosomal RNA (765 nucleotides) under uncultured Streptococcus sp. RNAcentral describes it as "bacterial SSU rRNA". It matches the Rfam family "Bacterial small subunit ribosomal RNA", at positions 28 to 776 of the family's 1533-position model. Lineage: Bacteria; Bacillati; Bacillota; Bacilli; Lactobacillales; Streptococcaceae. The record is from RNAcentral.
GACGAACGCUGGCGGCGUGCCUAAUACAUGCAAGUAGAACGCUGAAGAGAGGAGCUUGCUCUUCUUGGAUGAGUUGCGAACGGGUGAGUAACGCGUAGGUAACCUGCCUUGUAGCGGGGGAUAACUAUUGGAAACGAUAGCUAAUACCGCAUAACAAUGGAUGACCCAUGUCAUUUAUUUGAAAGGGGCAAAUGCUCCACUACAAGAUGGACCUGCGUUGUAUUAGCUAGUAGGUGAGGUAACGGCUCACCUAGGCGACGAUACAUAGCCGACCUGAGAGGGUGAUCGGCCACACUGGGACUGAGACACGGCCCAGACUCCUACGGGAGGCAGCAGUAGGGAAUCUUCGGCAAUGGGGGCAACCCUGACCGAGCAACGCCGCGUGAGUGAAGAAGGUUUUCGGAUCGUAAAGCUCUGUUGUAAGUCAAGAACGAGUGUGAGAGUGGAAAGUUCACACUGUGACGGUAGCUUAACAGAAAGGGACGGCUAACUACGUGCCAGCAGCCGCGGUAAUACGUAGGUCCCGAGCGUUGUCCGGAUUUAUUGGGCGUAAAGCGAGCGCAGGCGGUUUGAUAAGUCUGAAGUUAAAGGCUGUGGCUCAACCAUAGUUCGCUUUGGAAACUGUCAAACUUGAGUGCAGAAGGGGAGAGUGGAAUUCCAUGUGUAGCGGUGAAAUGCGUAGAUAUAUGGAGGAACACCGGUGGCGAAAGCGGCUCUCUGGUCUGUAACUGACGCUGAGGCUCGAAAGCGUGGGGAGCGAACAGG